GAUGAACGCUGGCGGCGUGCCUAAUACAUGCAAGUCGAGCGAACAGAUGAGGAGCUUGCUCCUCUGACGUUAGCGGCGGACGGGUGAGUAACACGUGGAUAACCUACCUAUAAGACUGGGAUAACUUCGGGAAACCGGAGCUAAUACCGGAUAAUAUAUUGAACCGCAUGGUUCAAUAGUGAAAGACGGUUUUGCUGUCACUUAUAGAUGGAUCCGCGCCGCAUUAGCUAGUUGGUAAGGUAACGGCUUACCAAGGCAACGAUGCGUAGCCGACCUGAGAGGGUGAUCGGCCACACUGGAACUGAGACACGGUCCAGACUCCUACGGGAGGCAGCAGUAGGGAAUCUUCCGCAAUGGGCGAAAGCCUGACGGAGCAACGCCGCGUGAAUGAUGAAGGUCUUCGGAUCGUAAAACUCUGUUAUUAGGGAAGAACAAAUGUGUAAGUAACUAUGCACGUCUUGACGGUACCUAAUCAGAAAGCCACGGCUAACUACGUG
RNAcentral lists this ribosomal RNA (497 nucleotides) under uncultured bacterium. Its description in RNAcentral is "partial 16S ribosomal RNA". It matches the Rfam family "Bacterial small subunit ribosomal RNA", at positions 28 to 507 of the family's 1533-position model. The record is from RNAcentral.